GUCUAGAAAAGAUAAACAUUCAUCAGCAUAAUCCGACAAUAAUAACUCAUCAAACAAUAAAGAUUGGUGUGUCUCUCAUGAUUACUAUCUACCAUCGGCAACUUAAUAUUAAAAUCGAAUUGGUAAACUACUGAGCCAAAUGUUAGUUUCUGUGUUAAUAUAUCCCAGAAUACUAAAGUUAUCUUGUAACAUGCGUACUGUGUCAGUAUAUCCCAGCAUAAUAAAGUUAUCUUGUAACAUGUGUUCUGUGUCAUCUUCUCUAACUUUAUCUAACCUGAAUUCACAUUAGCUUGCCCGGAAUAUGAGGCUAUGAAUUAUACCAAUGACAUAACUUUACUCACUUUGGUUCAUGUGUGGAUCAUCGGUCCACUGUCAAAACAGUUCUUACUGCAAUAGAUCCCUCUGGUCCUUUGAACACUCACAUCAAGUUAUUCCUCUUCAACUGAAGGCUUCUCAUUCUGAAGAAGACCAACUCCCUGUACAUUCCCAAUGUCUGAACUCUGAUCCCAGGUUCAUAAUAAAAAGAUAUGAAUACUGUC
This is a long non-coding RNA of Gadus macrocephalus (Pacific cod), 539 nucleotides long. RefSeq lists it as uncharacterized. The record is from RefSeq and is a predicted model, not a curated record. The transcript is spliced from 2 exons. Lineage: Eukaryota; Metazoa; Chordata; Actinopteri; Gadiformes; Gadidae.